AGGCUCCCAAGGUACUGUCGUGGAGUUUUCGACUAUUUCAAUGUCUUCGGGAAGUGAGCAAAUUCAAUUAUGGAGAAUCUGAUUUCUUAUGGCGAAUCCAAGUAGGACAUAUGUAUUUAGGAUUUAUGGAUCAGCCAGAAAGUUUUAGCUUUAGCAUCGAUCAAAAUUAAAUUUAACAAGCGAUGUACAUAAGUAUGUACGUCAGCAUACUGCUCUCUGCUAAUACAUUGGCACUCUGUAAAAGAUGGAUUUGAUCUAUUUGAUUGCGUGGCGUAGCAAUAUAAAUCUUAACGUUUUUUUGCUAUCGAAAUGGACUCUAUGAAUAUGUCAAUAAACACUACAUCAUCUGUAA
Drosophila obscura is the source of this 352-nucleotide long non-coding RNA. RefSeq lists it as uncharacterized. Lineage: Eukaryota; Metazoa; Arthropoda; Insecta; Diptera; Drosophilidae. The record is from RefSeq and is a predicted model, not a curated record. The transcript is spliced from 3 exons.